AUGUUUUUGCUCAUUAAUUCAGCAUGUAACUCACAUUGCAAUAGAAGCAGAAGAGGUUGAGCCCACAGUCAAACUGUCACUGAAUUCUAAACCAAAACUGAAGUAUGGACUUCUUCGCAUUAGGGUCACGUUGCCAGAACCAUACAAUCAAACGCCUGGCCGGGAGAGUUUUCUUUGCUCUCAGAGUUCCUGUGUGGAAAGGAAAUCUGAGAACUUAUGGUGGUGAGGAAGCCUGCAGCCUCUGAAGGUCAUGGGUGCUGUGGGAGCCACGAGCAAGAGCCAUCAGCCCAGGGAGAUACUGAGGGUCAGGGCAGCUAGGCCUGGAUUAUCUCUGUGUAGCUGGACCCAUCCAACCCUUUGUGGGCAUCACCCUGGAGUGAAAAUCCCUUUUGUUGUUGACGAAAGCUUGAGUUGAGUGAUUACUCUCAAAGUAUGUUAAAAUAUUCUCAUGAGAGAAUUAUACUAUAUUCCUAUGACAGUAUUAAAAGUAAUUUAAAGACCCCACACAUUUACAAAUAAAACUGACACUUGUGAAAACACUGCUUUGCCAUUUACUAUCUAUGUUCCUGGACAAACUAUUAAAUGUGCUGAGUCUAUAGCUCCACUUCAGUUCAGGAUCAAUGAUAUAUAUCUUUUCUUUUUCAAUUUCAAUACAUAACAAUAAGUGUCAUGAGUAGUUCUUGUAACUGAGUAGGCACUCAAAGGGACAUUAAGCUCUUCAUAUCUUCUGCUAUCAUAUUGUAUAUCUUUAUGAUACUUUAAUUUGAACUACAACUCCUGAGAUCUUCUUGAGAGUUCAUCACCGCUGAGAGACAGUUUACACAGACAGGACCACAGACAGAUGGCAUGUGACGAUAGAGCUUUGACCCAUAGUCCCUGCAGCGACUGUCCCCAACAAUGGGGACUUGGUCAAUAACUGCUACCUGCCCUAUUUAUGUCCCAACUCAGGAACAGCAGAUAAAUCCAGUAUGCUUCUUCAAUACUCACAUAGUUCUCUUUCUUUCAUUUUUAAUUUUUCUUACCUUCCACAAUUAAAAAAAUCAGCUAACGAUCAUAGGCAUGCAUCAAUCAAUGCUUCCAAUUUAUAAUGAUUCUUGUAUUAAGAAUUUUCAUCUUUCAUUUUCCUGUGGUUGUUUACACCCCCUCGGGUUCUGCAAACACAUUCAUUGCAUAAAAUUGCAACUCUGAGAAAUUCCAGCACACUGGCAUAGUGUUCUGGACUCUCGCUGUGGUACUACUGCCAGCAGUAUGCUUCCUUAUUAAAAAACACAGAGGCUCACUUGCAGCAGGUUUGAUAGCAGGAUGAUAAAAAUGGCAGGAUAUUUUUAAACACAGAGUUUAUGAGAUGUAUUACAUGGAAUUAAAUUUAGACCAUGUAUCAAGGAAAUCACCGUAGAGCUUUGAGUGUGAUACAGAUUACCCUGGCACUAGCUGGACCACUUUGUUGGCUCAACAACAUCAUUGCCUGAGCGGGAAAUAAAUGCCUGGGUCUAUGGGGGCACUAUCUGGUUGGCCUGUUGGUCACAGCAUUCUCCCCCCACAAGAUAUUUUACCUGGAGGGGUCUGCAGGGCAGCAAUUGGUGGAAAUACGUAGCAGAAGAAGACUAGGACUCUUUCUCCAGCACAGCCCCUCCACCUCAGCACACGUCCUCUGCUCCUGAUGAUGGCACAGAUAUCAGGGAUUUGACAGGACAUACUCAGGAAAAUGUUUUCAGGUUUUUGUCGGUUUGUUUUAGUUUUGUUUUUGGUAGCAUCAAUCUAAAUGUAAGGUUAUUGUGAUGGUGAAUAUUGAGGUCAGCUUGAUUGAAGGAUGCAAAGUGUGGUUCCCGGGUGUGUCUGUGAGGGUGUUGCCAAAGGAGAUUCACAUUUGAGUGGUGUACUGGCGGAGGCAGACCCACCCUCAGUCUGGGUAGGCACCAUCUAAUCAGCUGCCAGGGCCACUAGAAUAAAAGCAGGCAGAAAACAUAAAGGCCUAGACUGGCUGAGUCUUCCGGCCUCCGUCUUUCUCCUGUGCUGGGUGCUUCCUGUCCUUGAACAUCAUCAAGCUCCAAGUUCUUCAGCUUUGGGAAUCUUGGGCCUUCGGCCACAGACUGGAGACUGCAGUCAGCUUCCCUACUUUUGAGGUUUGGGGAAUUGGACUGGCUUCCUUGCUCCUCAGCUUGCAGACUGCCUACUGUGGGACUUCACCUUGUGAUCAUGUGAGUCAACGCUCCUUAAUGAACUCUUCUUCAUGUAUACAUCUAUCCUAUUAAUUCUGUCCCUCCAAGAACCCUAACUAAUACAGUUACACUUCUGGUCAUCAUCUGGGAUUUUAUAUGUAAAUCUCAGAAUUAAUUCAACAAAAUUUG
Long non-coding RNA from Cebus imitator (Panamanian white-faced capuchin), 2348 nucleotides. RefSeq lists it as uncharacterized. The record is from RefSeq and is a predicted model, not a curated record. NCBI's taxonomy places the organism in Eukaryota, Metazoa, Chordata, Mammalia, Primates, Cebidae. The transcript has 3 exons.